This 23-nucleotide microRNA is filed under the name Caenorhabditis elegans. RNAcentral's name for it is "cel-miR-58a-5p". Its record names the gene cel-miR-58a-5p. Lineage: Eukaryota; Metazoa; Nematoda; Chromadorea; Rhabditida; Rhabditidae. The record is from miRBase by way of RNAcentral.
UGCCCUACUCUUCGCAUCUCAUC